GGUGGAGAGGGGUAGGGCUGUAGGGGGGUGGAGAGGGGUAGGGCUGUAGGGGGGUGUCACAGACCUCAGCAAGCAGGAACACAGUUCAGUUAUAGAAGACUGCAAAUCAAGAGGCUGGUUCAAAUCUUUCCUGUGUUCAAAUCUCCCUCACAUGGUUUGUGAAUCUCUUUGUGUCCGGUUGAAAUACUGCCCUGUGUGCGUUUGUUUAGAAGGCCAACAGUGGUUCAGCCCAGCCGCCCUAAACAUCCAUCCUGGAGUCCUGGUCGACAGACAGGCUCCUCCUCCAGACCCCAGCUGGCUUCAAGCUGCUCUCGCAACACAACUGCAAACCAAUUCCAAUUGGAAGACUUUGAUUAAAACGAUAUUGACUAUGACAAAAAGCUAGUCAUAUUUCUCACCAAGUUACGUGUCUGUUUUUUAGUGUCCAUUCAGAGUGUUUGGGUUUAGCAGUGGCUGGACUGCCGUCAGGGACAGCAAGCACACGGAGCAACAGGACAGAACACAAGCAGACAGAAUGUACGAGGGAGAUGUGGCUGUGUGUGUUCCCACGUGGACAGCCUUUGCCAACACACACACACCACCUGGUCUGAAUACCUCUGAUAGGACAACUUGAUCUUUUCGUGGAUGCUUUCUCCUGGCCAUUUGAGACCUUCCUGUAUACAGUAGCUCGAUGGUCAUAGUGUAAAACCAAGACAAAAAAGCAGACGUUUGAAUCGCAGCGUGUCAGUGUGAACAGUUUGGUUGUCUUGGACAUGAUAUAUGCCAAAUACAAAGCACCAUUUACACAGUGUGCAUUGAAACAUUUCAGACAUUCUUUUAUGCAAGUGCUGCUCAUAGACAAGACCCCCAGUCUCCUCAAUACAGGUACAAGGUAAAUAAUCCUAACUGGUUAAACAUGUAUAUAACAGACAAUGUGAAUAUGUAUUUGUUCAGAAUCAACAAAAAUGUAGUGCUCCAAGGUUGUGGUAAUAACUACUCACUUCCAUAUUUUAUUUUCGUGUCAAUAUAUAUGGCUGAGAGUGAGUAAUACUGUAUAUCUUGUGUUUUAAGAUGGAAACUCAAAUUAUGUCUUGAUUUGAUUUCUUCUACUUUUCUCGUUCUUCUGUCGUAGAUGCCUGCACGUGACCUGUAGGUGUCACAGCUCUGUAUGAGAGAGGGUCACGUGACCUGUAGGUGUCACAGCUCUGUAUGAGAGAGGGUCACGUGACCUGUAGGUGUCACAGCUCUGUAUGAGAGAGGGUCACGUGACCUGUAGGUGUCACAGCUCUGUAUGAGAGAGGGUCACGUGACCUGUAGGUGUCACAGCUCUGUAUGAGAGAGGGUCACGUGACCUGUAGGUGUCACAGCUCUGUAUGAGAGAGGGUCACGUGACCUGUAGGUGUCACAGCUCUGUAUGAGAGAGGGUCACGUGACCUGUAGGUGUCACAGCUCUGUAUGAGAGAGGGUCACGUGACCUGUAGGUGUCACAGCUCUGUAUGAGAGAGGGUCACGUGACCUGUAGGUGUCACAGCUCUGUAUGAGAGAGGGUCACGUGACCUGUAGGUGUCACAGCUCUGUAUGAGAGAGGGUCACGUGACCUGUAGGUGUCACAGCUCUGUAUGAGAGAGGGUCACGUGACCUGUAGGUGUCACAGCUCUGUAUGAGAGAGGGUCACGUGACCUGUAGGUGUCACAGCUCUGUAUGAGAGAGGGUCACGUGACCUGUAGGUGUCACAGCUCUGUAUGAGAGAGGGUCACGUGACCUGUAGGUGUCACAGCUCUGUAUGAGAGGGUUAGCGACUGCUGAAUGUGAUUUUACUGAGAGACACAGUGUGGACUGGCUUUUGUACGGGUUAAUUUAAAAAAGGCCAUAUUAUUUAAUUUCUCUGUUGUCAAAAAGUUUGAACAGAUCUUGGGGAAAGUGGAACCGGUGUUUUUGUGAAGCAUUGCCUUGUCCUACUAGUAUAUAGAAGUGGGGUGUUAGAUUGCCUGAUGUAGUUUUAUUGCUUUGUCUGAAGUAAUGACCAAAGUUUCAAACGUUUAAUGCAGUAUUCAAUUGGACAAAACAAUUGCUCAGCUCUCUUGAAUGAACCGCUCCCUUACAGCGCUGGUAGGAAUCACUAUUAACAAGAGAUGCACUAUGUACUUCACUGCUACAGUUUGUACUUGUUCAUCGCUACUAACUUCAGCUUUGCAUGGAAUAGCCUUUAGCUUCUAUUUCUUUUUCAACACUAUUAUGUCGUAAGACAAGUGACCUACGUAUAUGGACUAAAGUAUUUUUUGUCAACAUCUUUGGAGUUCGCUUCCCAAAGAGCGGUCUGUCAGACGCCUUCGCUGUUGCCAUGACUCCCAGACUGCAAACGGCUCGUCUCUGUUUACAGGAAGUUAAUCCCAUCAACAGACAAUAUCGCUAUGCACCUUAUAGACGAGCAUGUAUCAAUACUACUAAAGGUAUUAUCCAGAUAGAGUAGAAGUUCAGAUACAGAAAUCACCACCGGGUAUUUUAGGCAUACUUUUUUUUCAGUUUCCCCCCCUUUUCAGUCUCCGCAAAUGGGGUUGACGGAAAUGCUUGGACCGUUUCCGAGCAUCGAAGCUUUUAACGGAGUCUCACAGACGACGAAUAAUAGUUCCAUUUAUUUAGCCUAAUACUUUAUACCAAAUUUGAGGUGCCUCUUGUGUGUAUUUUCUGCAUAGAGGGUUGCUCCUCGCUGUUUCGUAAUAAUAUUCUUAUUGAGGAUUUUCUUAUCUUUACCUUUAUAAAAAAAAAAAAACACGUUUGCUGUAUUGUACAUGAUGUUUUCUAUUAGAAAGUUGAAUUAAUCCAGGAAUUUGCAAGAAAUACAAUCUAGUUUUGCACUUUAUACCAGAUUUACUUAGAGGAACGAGGCCAUUUGAAUACCUAAGUUCAAAUCUACUAUUUGGAAACCUAGAGGAAUCCCCCUGAAUGUAUUGGAAUGUAGGUAAUCCUCGGAUUUCUCAGGUUCUUUGUAAAGAACUUGGUAGUAUUUUCCCAUUUAGAUGACAGAGCAAAUAGUGUCCCUCUCCUUCUGUGUGUUGCCCGGGCCUUCCACUAGUUUAAACUAUGCCUUUCCUCUUCAGGUUAACCCUUGUCCUGGCCUUAGCCAUGCUAACUGCACCCUGGUCACACCCUUCAGCUUAAACCUAUUCAAAACAUUCCUCUGCUGUGGUUAUUCCCCCCUCCCACCAUCCUUUCCUGCGUAGCCACGCUGGUGCAGAGCUGUGACGAUGUAGACCCAUGAACACAAACUUGUCAUUCUCAGCCCGCUCGGUGCUCCCCUUGGUCUAAUGGUAGUCCCUCUGGCUUGCAGACCUGGGUGAGAUCCCUGUUAUAGAGCAGACUUGUGUGUGUUUUCACCCCCCUGUCCCCUCCCCCAUGUCCCACCUGACAGCAGACUGCUUAGACAGCCAGACCCUCAAGGGAGCCCCUCCCAGACUCCUCCCCUCCCAGACUCAGCCCCUCCCCUCCCAGACUCAGCCCCUCCCCUGCCAGAAUCACAGGAAAUGUUUGCUGAUGUGUUUGUAAAGUAACUUAAGUGCUGCCUUAUUGACUGAACUUGGUGGAUCUCGCCACUUGCUGGGCAAUGACUUCACUCUGGCUCAACAACCAGGUUCCACUUUCUCCCCUGUAAAAUUAAUAUAAAUAAAUAUAUAUAUAUUAUACAUUUUACUCAUUUUUGUCCGGUUUUGUAUAUCCUUAUUGUGUAAAACUAUGUUUGUAGAGAGGCAUCUAAUGGAGCAGCUUUGGAACUAUAAUGAAUGAGGGUUUAUCUGGGAUGAACAUAUGCAUGUUUCUGUGUCCAGAUCCCCUACCUUUCCUAGGAUGACAACUGUACAGGAAGUCACAGACAGGAAGUCACAGACAAUCACACUCAGGCUGGGCCAGCACCACAGGAAGUAACCUGCAGGCUGGCCCAGCACCACAGGAAGUACCCUGCAGGCUGAAAAACAAAACAAAGGUCUUUUUUUUUUUUUUUUUGCACCUACUGAAACAGUCUUAUGUGUCUACGUUAACGUCCCAAGCUGCUCUGACUGGGUUUACACACACACACCGUAUGUUCUGUCGCUCACCCGAAGGUGAGGAUGCUGACGAAGUCGACCUUGAAGCAAAUGAUGCUUCGACUAACUAAUCUAUAACAUCCAUGAAUGUGAGAAUGCACCACAUUGCAAUAAAAGCACCAUUUAAAACUAA
This is a long non-coding RNA of Osmerus eperlanus (European smelt), 4188 nucleotides long. RefSeq lists it as uncharacterized. NCBI's taxonomy places the organism in Eukaryota, Metazoa, Chordata, Actinopteri, Osmeriformes, Osmeridae. The record is from RefSeq and is a predicted model, not a curated record. The transcript is spliced from 2 exons.